UAUGGCCAGUCUGGCUUGAGCUCCACCUGAAAAUUUAUUGCUUGUGAGGAAAUAAAAUGAACUGGUGGCCCUGGUGCAGGCUCUGCACGUAAAACCUGUCUGUCUCUGUGGUGGGAGCACUGGGAUCUAUGACAAUACAGAAUUGGCAGUAAAGUAUCAAUAGGAGUGAAAGCAGGUACUGUAGAAGGAAAAAGCACAGAAAAAAAUAUAUCAUAGUCUUUUCAGGAAAUGAAUAGUGAAAAGAAACAGGAACAUGAAUUAGGAACUGCUGAAAAAACAAAAGCUGUUGAACUUGUAAGAGCAACAAGACUUGUCUGCCACUGAGCUGAAGAAAUCAGAGAAGAUGAGCCAUGGGCCUGUAACAGUGUUCACUCACCAUGGCAGCACCUCCUGCUGGCCAUCCUGGGGAUUAGCUGUGCCAGUGGGUGUGCCCUCCUCCAGUGGUGCCUCUCCUGUUGUCACCUCUCCUGCCUUCCAUGUCAAUCCAGGAACUGCAGCAUCCUCUUCAUGACUCGGCCUACUGUCCAUGCCACUAUCCAUGUUUCCUCCUUCCAGAGACCAGAUAAGCAGCUGCUCCAAAACGGACAAGCUGGGCUGCUUCUCUCCUCAAGCGAACACUAGCUGUGGACAUUCAUCUCCCUGCCUGCCUCUGCUCGAGCAAACAGUAGCUGUGUUUGUUUUUUAGAUAAGCAGCUCCGGGAGCCCUGAGUUCACAACAAAACAAAGAGAGGCAUCACAACAAAACAAAGAGAGUUAUCUUUACUUAAAUGCAUUAUGGGAAAAUUCCAUAGGUCAGUUACAGCGUAGUAAGAUUAAACACUGUUUACACUGGCACUCCAGCAUUGCAGCACCAGCGCUAUUCUCUUUAUUCCCCUUGUCGAGGUGGAGUACAACCAGCGCUGUAGCCUGGGAGAUACAGUGCUGUAUGUGCCUUGCCAGUGUUAGGCCUGAAUAAAGAUAUUGCAGACAAAACCAGGUAUGCCAACCUGACCAAAGUCAGGUUGGCAGAGGUUUUUGGGUAAUUCCUGAGUGGAAAACACUGAGAAGCAGCAGCAUGUCUCACAAGCGCUGGGAAAAAGUGAGAUAAGAGAGAAGCUGCAUUCCUGGCAUAGUACCAGAUGUGCUGUGUUAGGGCAGCUCCUUCGAAGAACUGAUAAGAGCCCUAGUUUCCCAGCCUCCUUGUUUUCACUCCCUGGUUUUGUUCUUUGUUUGUUUUUAACUCCCCUACAUUUCUAACUUUAGGCAUGCAUGUAUACUAAAGGUGUCUAGUUUCUAGUUGUUAAAAGAAGGGGGUAGGUUGCUCCAGUGAAUAAUUUAUGACGCGACGGAACUGUCUAUAUAGGCUUAUACUAAGAUGUAAAGAGCGGGCUGGUUCUCUCUGGAGACGAGCUGCUCUCUAUUGAUGCGUGCACUUGUCAAUAAAGAGCUUUUGAUCGGACCUUG
Molecule: long non-coding RNA, 1443 nt
Organism: Gopherus flavomarginatus (Mexican gopher tortoise)
Lineage: Eukaryota; Metazoa; Chordata; Testudines; Testudinidae
Exons: 3
Source: RefSeq, a predicted model, not a curated record